CCUACGGGAGGCAGCAGUGGGGAAUAUUGGGCAAUGGGCGCAAGCCUGACCCAGCAACGCCGCGUGAAGGAAGAAGGCUUUCGGGUUGUAAACUUCUUUUAUCAGGGACGAAGCAAGUGACGGUACCUGAUGAAUAAGCCACGGCUAACUACGUGCCAGCAGCCGCGGUAAUACGUAGGUGGCAAGCGUUAUCCGGAUUUACUGGGUGUAAAGGGCGUGUAGGCGGGAGUGCAAGUCAGAUGUGAAAACUAUGGGCUCAACCCAUAGCCUGCAUUUGAAAGUGUACUUCUUGAGUGCUGGGGAGGCAAGCGGAAUGCGGGGUGGAGAGGAGAAAGGUGGAGAGAUAGGGAGGAAACCGGGUGGGGAGGGGGGAUGAAUGGAUAGUAAUUGACGCUGAGGCGCGAAAGCGGGGGGAGAAAACAGGAUUAGAGACCCGAGGAGGC
This 443-nucleotide ribosomal RNA is filed under the name uncultured bacterium. Its description in RNAcentral is "partial 16S ribosomal RNA". It matches the Rfam family "Bacterial small subunit ribosomal RNA", at positions 338 to 795 of the family's 1533-position model. The record is from RNAcentral.